AGCGGGGUAGGGCAGUCAGGAGUGCCCGGAGGGCUCAUAACCCUCAGGUCGGUGGUUCAAAUGAGGGAGUCAAUCUCUCUGGAUGUCCACUCCCCGCUA
RNAcentral lists this transfer RNA (99 nucleotides) under Nanobdellota archaeon. RNAcentral describes it as "tRNA-Met". The record is from RNAcentral. Lineage: Archaea; Nanobdellati; Nanobdellota.